GUAGGUGUGCUGGAAUUGGCAGACAGGCACGCUUGAGGUGCGUGUGUUCAACGAACGUAUGGGUUCAAGUCCCUUCACCUGCACCA
This 86-nucleotide transfer RNA is filed under the name Clostridium tetani. RNAcentral's name for it is "tRNA-Leu". It matches the Rfam family "tRNA". From Rfam's summary of the family: Transfer RNA (tRNA) molecules are approximately 80 nucleotides in length. Lineage: Bacteria; Bacillati; Bacillota; Clostridia; Eubacteriales; Clostridiaceae. The record is from RNAcentral. RNAcentral also lists the same sequence under 1 other name.